CAGCUUGCUGCUUCGCUGACGAGUGGCGGACGGGUGAGUAAUGUCUGGGAAGCUGCCUGAUGGAGGGGGAUAACUACUGGAAACGGUAGCUAAUACCGCAUAAUGUCGCAAGACCAAAGAGGGGGACCUUCGGGCCUCUUGCCAUCGGAUGUGCCCAGAUGGGAUUAGCUUGUUGGUGGGGUAACGGCUCACCAAGGCGACGAUCCCUAGCUGGUCUGAGAGGAUGACCAGCCACACUGGAACUGAGACACGGUCCAGACUCCUACGGGAGGCAGCAGUGGGGAAUAUUGCACAAUGGGCGCAAGCCUGAUGCAGCCAUGCCGCGUGUAUGAAGAAGGCCUUCGGGUUGUAAAGUACUUUCAGCGGGGAGGAAGGGAGUAAAGUUAAUACCUUUGCUCAUUGACGUUACCCGCAGAAGAAGCACCGGCUAACUCCGUGCCAGCAGCCGCGGUAAUACGGAGGGUGCAAGCGUUAAUCGGAAUUACUGGGCGUAAAGCGCACGCAGGCGGUUUGUUAAGUCAGAUGUGAAAUCCCCGGGCUCAACCUGGGAACUGCAUCUGAUACUGGCAAGCUUGAGUCUCGUAGAGGGGGGUAGAAUUCCAGGUGUAGCGGUGAAAUGCGUAGAGAUCUGGAGGAAUACCGGUGGCGAAGGCGG
This 655-nucleotide ribosomal RNA is filed under the name uncultured Pseudomonadota bacterium. RNAcentral's name for it is "bacterial SSU rRNA". It matches the Rfam family "Bacterial small subunit ribosomal RNA", at positions 76 to 724 of the family's 1533-position model. Lineage: Bacteria; Pseudomonadati; Pseudomonadota. The record is from RNAcentral.